Long non-coding RNA from Malania oleifera, 1179 nucleotides. RefSeq lists it as uncharacterized. The record is from RefSeq and is a predicted model, not a curated record. The transcript has 2 exons. NCBI's taxonomy places the organism in Eukaryota, Viridiplantae, Streptophyta, Magnoliopsida, Santalales, Ximeniaceae.
ACGGAUCAGAGGGCUAUGAAUUGGUGCACACGAAUUAGAUAUGUGGCUUGAUCCAAGCCAUCCCCAGAAAACACAAAUCGUGUGGUUAAUAGAAGGCCGUUCUGAAUGUGUAGAAAGGGGGUGAGCCACGUGUCGCAUGCUGGUGGUUCCAAUGGAGAGCAUAUAAAAACUAAAUUUUUUUUGUUUCAUUCAUUUUUCAUCCUUUUCGUCCAAGACUCUCUCCUCUCUCUUCCUCUCCUCUUCUUCAAAGAAAACCCCUCUCAGAAACCCUAAUACUUGCAACAAUUCUUCAAUUCUUUCCAAACCCUAACUCAACUUCUCUAAUCUCAUACUCUCCUUCUUUGAGCAUAUGCAACCCCUUGAAAUCGAAUUCUCCCUCUCUAGUUCUUUCUCUCGAAGCUUUCUUCUCUCUAAGAACCUUCCCCUCACACCUCCCUCAAUCUCUCUUCUCUCUUCUGAGAAGCUCUCUGGAAGCAAAUCCCCGAAACCCUAGUUCUCUCUAACCUCAAGCUCUCUCUGAAACUAUCUGAAGCUCUCUAUUCUACAGAUCUCUUUAUUUUCUCUCGUUCUCCUUCGUUCUUUCCCUUCUCCAUAGUGAUGAACCCCCUGGAAAACCCUAGCUGUGGUAAUCACUCUGAAACCUCCCUACUUUCUACGAUUCCUGAAACCCUAAUGUUUCAAUCUGAAGCUCGAUCCCGAGACCUAGGAGAGGUCUGAUCAGGUAUGUGCGAGACUCCCUAUUUAUAGGGAAUCUAGGCAGUGCAUUUUGGUGCUCAAUCAGUUCCUAGCGGGAAAAUAUGUUCCAACAACCUGCUCCUUUAUUCCCAUGAUUCAGUUAGUGGGGAUUCGGGCAGGGAAUAUUUUAAUAGCUUUCAUUCUCUUCAUUGCGCACAUGUGAAUUUUUAUUUAUUAUUCUUGAAUUUCUUUUAACAACUAAACUUGCUGAUUUUCCUUUUUGUGAAUAGGGGGCUUCAAAGAUGCUCCUAGUUAUUCCAAUUGGCAACCGAUGAUUGGAUCUGCUUGACUUUCUGUUCCCGAUAUUAUUAUUUUUUUAAUAUUCUGUAUUUCCUUUGUAUUGCUACAUUUUCUUUGUAUUUGUUUUUUCCUGUAUUUGCUUGGUAUUUCCCUAUAUUUGCUUGGUAUUUCCAUAUAUUUGCAUUUUAUUCCUUCAGUUUCUCC